This 823-nucleotide ribosomal RNA is filed under the name alpha proteobacterium SCGC AAA298-F07. RNAcentral's name for it is "SSU rRNA". It matches the Rfam family "Bacterial small subunit ribosomal RNA", at positions 35 to 912 of the family's 1533-position model. The record is from RNAcentral. Lineage: Bacteria; Pseudomonadati; Pseudomonadota; Alphaproteobacteria.
GCUGGCGGCACGCCUAACACAUGCAAGUCGAACGAAGUAGCAAUACUUAGUGGCAGACGGGUGAGUAACAUGUGGGUAUCUGCCCUUUGGCCUGGAAUAACACGAGGAAACUUGUGCUAAUACUGGAUAAGUCUUUACGGAGAAAGCUUUAUGCACCAUAGGAUGAGCCCGCACUUGAUUAGUUUGUUGGUGGGGUAAUGGCCUACCAAGACUUUGAUCAAUAGCUGAUUUGAGAGGAUGAUCAGCCACAUUGGGACUGAGACACGGCCCAAACUCCUACGGGAGGCAGCAGUGGGGAAUCUUGCACAAUGGAGGAAACUCUGAUGCAGCGAUGCCGCGUGAGUGAAGAAGGCCCUUGGGUUGUAAAGCUCUUUCGUCGGGGAAGAAAAUGACUGUACCCGAAUAAGAAGGUCCGGCUAACUUCGUGCCAGCAGCCGCGGUAAUACGAAGGGACCUAGCGUAGUUCGGAAUUACUGGGCUUAAAGAGUUCGUAGGUGGUUGAAAAAGUUGGUGGUGAAAUCCCAGAGCUUAACUCUGGAACUGCCAUCAAAACUUUUCAGCUAGAGUUUGAUAGAGGAAAGCAGAAUUUCUAGUGUAGAGGUGAAAUUCGUAGAUAUUAGAAAGAAUACCAAUUGCGAAGGCAGCUUUCUGGAUCAUUACUGACACUGAGGAACGAAAGCAUGGGUAGCGAAGAGGAUUAGAUACCCUCGUAGUCCAUGCCGUAAACGAUGUGUGUUAGACGUUGGAAAUUUAUUUUCAGUGUCGCAGCGAAAGCGAUAAACACACCGCCUGGGGAGUACGACCGCAAGUAACUAAUGAUGCG